RNAcentral lists this ribosomal RNA (161 nucleotides) under uncultured bacterium. RNAcentral's name for it is "partial 16S ribosomal RNA". It matches the Rfam family "Bacterial small subunit ribosomal RNA", at positions 1338 to 1500 of the family's 1533-position model. The record is from RNAcentral.
GUAAUCGCGAAUCAGAAUGUCGCGGUGAAUACGUUCCCGGGCCUUGUACACACCGCCCGUCACACCAUGAGAGCCGAUAACACCCGAAGCCUGUGAGCUAACCGUAAGGGGCAGCAGUCGAAGGUGGGGUUGUGAUUGGGGUGAAGUCGUAACAAGGUAGC